UUUAAAAUGAUUUUUUUUUUUUAAAUUAAAAAGAAUUGAUCAGAAGAUAAGGGAUUAGUGUUUAAAAGAGUUGUCUUGAAUCUUGAUUAUGAAGUAAUAUUCUUCUUGUUUCUUGAAGACAAUGCAUAGGGAUUGUGCUCUUUCAACUAAAUUGUCCCAAACAAGUUAAAAGCGAUAUUUUAAAGUUUUAAUCAACAUAUUCAUGAAGAAACAUAUAUACAAAUCGAUUAUCCAGAUUCUUCUAGAUAUACCUCAACCAUCUCUUUCUUCCUUUUCUUCGAUAAACUCUGAAAAAAUAAAAAGUAAAGGUGCUGCCUUCUUUUGUCCAGUGAUUGCUCAGAAAUGUCUCACCUGGGUUAUAGUGUGAGCUUUCCGAUUGAAGGAGAUGUUUCAGCAGUUAAGAUGUUUCACCUGGGUUGUAAUUUGACCUUGUUGCAAUGGGCCUUCUUGCAACGAUGGUCUUCUUGUAGCCACCCCUAAUGUCGUAGGACGUCAUUGCUAAGGAGGAGAGAUCGUCGGUUGUCGUUGGUUGAGCUUGAGGUUGUAAAGAAUGGAGUGAAGAGAAAGUGGGGCGUCUAGCAUGAAAACACGAAAGGGGUUUGCUGCUGUGUGAUUGGCUAUUUUAAAUUUAUUUCUCCUUUUUUUUUUUCAAAUGAUUAUUGAUGAUGUUGCUGGGUUUGUUCUUAAUUCUUGGUUUCUGGAUUUGUUUUUGGUUGUUGGGUUUAUUCUUUUUGGGUUUGUUCUUAAUUCUUGGUUUCUGGAUUUGUUUUUGGUUGUUGGGUUUAUUCUUUU
RNAcentral lists this unclassified non-coding RNA (792 nucleotides) under Hevea brasiliensis (rubber tree). The record is from RNAcentral. Lineage: Eukaryota; Viridiplantae; Streptophyta; Magnoliopsida; Malpighiales; Euphorbiaceae.